This 774-nucleotide ribosomal RNA is filed under the name uncultured Neocallimastigales. RNAcentral's name for it is "partial large subunit ribosomal RNA". It matches the Rfam family "Eukaryotic large subunit ribosomal RNA", at positions 24 to 645 of the family's 3401-position model. The record is from RNAcentral. Lineage: Eukaryota; Fungi; Neocallimastigomycota; Neocallimastigomycetes; Neocallimastigales.
UAUCUCUGUAGAGUCUGCAUAUCAAUAAGCGGAGGAAAAGAAACUAACAAGGAUUCCCUUAGUAACGGCGAGUGAAGCGGGAAGAGCUCAAAUUUGAAAUCUUCAAGGUUUUACCUUGACGAAUUGUAGUUUAAAGAAGUGUUUUCUGUUGAAGUUUCGGUAAAAGUUCUUUGGAAUAGGACAUCAUAGAGGGUGAGAAUCCCGUAUUUGACCAUUAUUUCCAGCUUUGUGAUACACUUUCAAAGAGUCGGAUUGUUUGGGAAUGCAGUCCAAAAUGGGUGGUAAAUUUCAUCUAAAGCUAAAUAUUGGCGAGAGACCGAUAGCGAACAAGUACCGUGAGGGAAAGAUGAAGAGAACUUUGAAAAGAGAGUUAAACAGUACGUGAAAUUGUCAAAAGGGAAGCGUUUGACACCAGUGUUGUUUUCUCGAAAAUCAAUUAAAAAUGGCGGGAUUUUGUGUUGUAUUGACUUUAUCAGCUUUCUGCACUUUUUUCCUGUCUUUUUUAAUGCACUUUUCGUUUAACAAGUCAACAUCAAUUUCUUUUGUUGUAAAAGGGUCAUUGGAAGGUGGCUUUCUUUUCGGAGAAAGUGUUUAUAGCCUUUGACUCCUGCAAUCGGAGAGACUGAGGUCUGCAGCGUAGAUCCUUCUGGAUUAGAUUCACUUGUGCUAAGUUAUAGCUUUUCAUAGACAACUUGUUGACUAUGUUUAGUCUUGUAGCUUACUCGCUCGUGUAAUUUUACCUACGCUUAGGAUGUUGAUCUCUCACAGUCGAGC